CGCGGCCUAUCAGCUUGUUGGUGAGGUAAUGGCUCACCAAGGCAACGACGGGUAGCCGGCCUGAGAGGGCGACCGGCCACACUGGGACUGAGACACGGCCCAGACUCCUACGGGAGGCAGCAGUGGGGAAUAUUGGGCAAUGGAGGAAACUCUGACCCAGCGACGCCGCGUGCGGGAUGAAGGCCUUCGGGUUGUAAACCGCAUUCAGUAGGGAAGAAGCGAAAGUGACGGUACCUACAAAAGAAGCACCGGCUAACUAUGUGCCAGCAGCCGCGGUAAUACAUAGGGUCCAGGCGUUGUCCGGAAUUAUUGGGCGUAAAGAGCUCGUAGGUCGUUUGUUACGUCGGAUGUGAAAACCUGAGGCUCAACCUCAGGCCUGCAUUCGAUACGGGCAAACUAGAGUUUGGUAGGGGAGACUGGAAUUCCUGGUGUAGCGGUGGAAUGCGCAGAUAUCAGGAGGAACACCAAUGGCGAAGGCAGGUCUCUGGGCCAAUACUGACACUGAGGAGCGAAAGUCUGGGGAGCGAACAGGAUUAGAUACCCUGGUAGUCCAGACCGUAAACGGUGGGCACUAGCUGUGGGAACCUUCCACGGUUUCUGCGACGCAGCUAACGCAUUAAGUGCCCCGCCUGGGGAGUACGG
This 642-nucleotide ribosomal RNA is filed under the name uncultured Actinomycetes bacterium. RNAcentral's name for it is "bacterial SSU rRNA". It matches the Rfam family "Bacterial small subunit ribosomal RNA", at positions 232 to 885 of the family's 1533-position model. Lineage: Bacteria; Bacillati; Actinomycetota; Actinomycetes. The record is from RNAcentral.